GGGGGGGGGGGGGGGGGGGGGGGGGGGGGGGGAGGCGGGCGGGCGGACGAGGGGGGUGCGGCGCUGAUGUGAGCGGCGGACGGGGGAGGAGCACGGGGAUAACCUGCCGAUCAGGCUGGGAUAACUUCGGGAAACCGGAGCUAAUACCGGAUCAUAUUUUGAACCGCAUGGUUCAAAAGGGAAAGACGGUCUUGCUGUCACUUAUAUCUGGAUCCGCGCUGCAUUAGCUAGUUGGUAAGGUAACGGCUUACCAAGUCAACGAUGCAUAGCCGACCUGAGCGGGUGAUCGGCCACACUGGAACUGAGACACGGUCCAGACUCCUACGGGAGGCAGCAGUAGGGAAUCUUCCGCAAUGGGCGAAAGCCUGACGGAGCAACGCCGCGUGAGUGAUGAAGGUCUUCGGAUCGUAAAACUCUGUUAUUAGGGAAGAACAUAUGUGUAAGUAACUGUGCACAUCUUGACGGUACCUAAUCAGAAAGCCACGGCUAACUACGUG
RNAcentral lists this ribosomal RNA (497 nucleotides) under uncultured bacterium. RNAcentral describes it as "partial 16S ribosomal RNA". It matches the Rfam family "Bacterial small subunit ribosomal RNA", at positions 27 to 507 of the family's 1533-position model. The record is from RNAcentral.